AUAGCCAUCUAGUUCUGUGGCCUACCAGUUCUCAUCCUUUGAAUUCUUAGGUUAGACGAGAAGAUACAUGAGAUCUCUAAAUCUUCAGGUUUAAACGUAGAUGUCUUUCACUACACCAGAGUAAAUAGCUUAUUCAAUAUUCAUUUUAUGAUCGUUAUUGGACUUCGGCUUCCUACUGCCUUUCAAAUAGGCCAUCGCAAGAUUUUGUCCAGUAGUAACGGACACAGACUUCUUGUUGGUUGGAAAAGAAAAGAAAUCACACUGAAAAAUACAGCACUGAAGCUCAAAAAUAAAAACAUGUUAUCCAGACGCCAAAGAGAGAAGAGACACAGCAUGGGUGAAUAUAUGAAAGCAAAAGAUGACCCUAUCAUAUUAGUAUGCUAAUGAACCAGCAUUCAUCCUUUAAUGUUCGUGCCCGUCUCCUUAGUGCUUGAUAGAAAGGAUGCACUUCUUAUGUUAGCAAUGCUUGUGGAGCCUUUGUGGUCAUUCUCAGACAUGCACAGAGUGGGGAAAAACAUUGAGUCACCUGGAAUCCACGUUCAGCUGAGGUUGAACCAGCAAUCCUGGAAUCAGGGCACUACGGGUAACCACAUUCUCACUUUACAAAUGAUAACUCACACACCCCAUGGAAGAUCCGGGAAGUCUUCUGAUGCCCCUGCUUUCCAAGACAAUAUGAUGCUUCUCUACAUUCCAUGGACUAUGACAAGUAUAUCAGUCGUCGAAGUGGGUGGUUUAAUGGCAUGAUUAGCUCCAUUUUCUCUUCCUGCAGCAUAGCAAAGUGCAUAAAGCUUGAGCUCUGUGUCCAGCAGAUCUUUAUUAGAAUUCCAGUCCCCCCACAGUUACAUAUGCUCUCUCCCUGACAGUUUUCACAGAUGAAUCAUCCAGACUCCAUUUCCUAUUAGAGCUGGACCCUCCACUUGGACUUUUGACACUUAGACCCCUCUAGCCCACACAGGGACAUCAGUGCAAUAAUUCUCCCCUUUCUACAGCAUCAUUAAAUUUUGCCUCUCUCCUGGAUCAUCCCAUUCACAUAUUCAUAUGCUGUUAUUUCUCCCAUCUAAAACUGACCAGGCACUGUGGCUCAUGUCUAUAAUCCUAGCACUUUGGGAGGCCAAGGCUGGCAGAUCACUUGAGGCUAGGAGUUUGAGACCAGCCUGGCCAACAUGACAAAACCCCAUCUCUACUAAAAAUACAAAAAUUAGCAGGGUGUGCUGCACUCCAGCUUGGGCGACAGAGCAAGACACUGUCUCAAAAUAAAUAAAUAAUUAAUUAAAAAUAAAA
RNAcentral lists this long non-coding RNA (1281 nucleotides) under Homo sapiens (human). RNAcentral's name for it is "novel transcript". The record is from RNAcentral. Lineage: Eukaryota; Metazoa; Chordata; Mammalia; Primates; Hominidae.